ACUCAAAGGAAUUGACGGGGGCUCACACAAGCGGUGGAGCAUGUGGCUUAAUUCGAGGCUACGCGCAAAACCUUAUCCUGGGCUUGACAUGCACGGAUUAGCCGGCGGAAACGGCGGCGAGGCCUUCGGGUACAACGUGCACAGGUGCUGCAUGGCUGUCGUCAGCUCGUGCCGUGAGGUGUCGGGUUAAGUCCCUUAACGAGCGAAACCCCUGCCCCUAGUUGCCAGCGCGUCAUGGUGGGCACUCUAGGGGGACCGCCGGCGUGAAGCCGGAGGAAGGCGGGGACGACGUCAAGUCAUCAUGGCCCUUAUGCCCAGGGCUGCACACGUGCUACAAUGGGGUGCAACAAAGCGUUGCCAGACCGCAAGGUCGCGCUAAUCGCAAAAACCACCCCUCAGUUCGGAUUGCGGGCUGCAACCCGCCCGCAUGAAGCUGGAAUCGCUAGUAAUCGUGGAUCAGCAUGCCACGGUGAAUGGGUUCCUGAGCCUUGUACACACCGCCCGU
Molecule: ribosomal RNA, 505 nt
Filed under: uncultured bacterium
Lineage: Bacteria
Description: partial 16S ribosomal RNA
Rfam family: Bacterial small subunit ribosomal RNA
Source: RNAcentral